This is a non-coding RNA of Vicia faba (fava bean), 186 nucleotides long. Lineage: Eukaryota; Viridiplantae; Streptophyta; Magnoliopsida; Fabales; Fabaceae. The record is from the annotation of a GenBank genome assembly.
AUGCUUAAUUUGAAAGAUCAAACAGCAACAAAAAAAAAGACAGAAUAUGGUGAAGAAAUAAAAAUCAUUAUUAAAGAAGUGAAGAAUAAAUUUACGAACACGCAAUACUUUAUACAAGACAUCAAUCCCAUUUUCCCUUAUGGUAGCUCAUUAUAUUUAAUUUUGCUUAAACAGAACCAACCAUAG